This 253-nucleotide ribosomal RNA is filed under the name uncultured bacterium. Its description in RNAcentral is "partial 16S ribosomal RNA". It matches the Rfam family "Bacterial small subunit ribosomal RNA", at positions 524 to 776 of the family's 1533-position model. The record is from RNAcentral.
UACGUAGAGUGCAAGCGUUGCCCGGAUUUAUUGGGCGUAAAGAGCUCGUAGGCGGCCUGUCGCGUCGGCUGUGAAAACCCGAGGCUCAACCUCGGGCCUGCAGUCGAUACGGGCAGGCUAGAGUUCGGUAGGGGAGACUGGAAUUCCUGGUGUAGCGGUGAAAUGCGCAGAUAUCGGGAAGAACACCCGUGGCGAAGGCGGCUCUCUGGGACGGUACUGACGCUGAGACGCGAAAGCGUGGGGAGCGAACAGG